UACACGCUGACGAGCGGCGGACGGGUGAGUAAUGCAUAGGAAUCUGCCCGAUAGUGGGGGAUAACCUGGGGAAACCCAGGCUAAUACCGCAUACGUCCUACGGGAGAAAGGGGGCUCCGGCUCCCGCUAUUGGAUGAGCCUAUGUCGGAUUAGCUAGUUGGUGAGGUAACGGCUUACCAAGGCGACGAUCCGUAGCUGGUCUGAGAGGAUGAUCAGCCACAUCGGGACUGAGACACGGCCCGAACUCCUACGGGAGGCAGCAGUGGGGAAUAUUGGACAAUGGGGGCAACCCUGAUCCAGCCAUGCCGCGUGUGUGAAGAAGGCCCUCGGGUUGUAAAGCACUUUCAGCGAGGAAGAACGCCUGUCGGUUAAUACCCGGUAGGAAAGACAUCACUCGCAGAAGAAGCACCGGCUAACUCCGUGCCAGCAGCCGCGGUAAUACGGAGGGUGCAAGCGUUAAUCGGAAUUACUGGGCGUAAAGCGCGCGUAGGUGGCUUGAUAAGCCGGUUGUGAAAGCCCCGGGCUCAACCUGGGAACGGCAUCCGGAACUGUCAGGCUAGAGUGCAGGAGAGGAAGGUAGAAUUCCCGGUGUAGCGGUG
Molecule: ribosomal RNA, 599 nt
Filed under: Vreelandella titanicae BH1
Lineage: Bacteria; Pseudomonadati; Pseudomonadota; Gammaproteobacteria; Oceanospirillales; Halomonadaceae
Description: bacterial SSU rRNA
Rfam family: Bacterial small subunit ribosomal RNA
Source: RNAcentral